UAUGUAAGUCCUAAGGUAGAUUAUCGUUU
RNAcentral lists this non-coding RNA (29 nucleotides) under Rattus norvegicus (Norway rat). Lineage: Eukaryota; Metazoa; Chordata; Mammalia; Rodentia; Muridae. The record is from RNAcentral.